UGAGGCAGGAGAAUUGCUUGAACCCAGGAGGUGGAGGCUGCAGUGAGCCAAGAUUGUGCCACUGCACUCCAGCCUGGGUGACAGAGCGAGACUCUGUCUCA
Molecule: microRNA precursor, 101 nt
Organism: Cercocebus atys (sooty mangabey)
Lineage: Eukaryota; Metazoa; Chordata; Mammalia; Primates; Cercopithecidae
Source: Ensembl